RNAcentral lists this ribosomal RNA (685 nucleotides) under Enterococcus durans. RNAcentral's name for it is "bacterial SSU rRNA". It matches the Rfam family "Bacterial small subunit ribosomal RNA", at positions 1 to 660 of the family's 1533-position model. Lineage: Bacteria; Bacillati; Bacillota; Bacilli; Lactobacillales; Enterococcaceae. The record is from RNAcentral.
UUUAGAGUUUGAAUUCCCNCUCAGGACGAACGCUGGCGGCGUGCCUAAUACAUGCAAGUCGUACGCUUCUUUUUCCACCGGAGCUUGCUCCACCGGAAAAAGAAGAGUGGCGAACGGGUGAGUAACACGUGGGUAACCUGCCCAUCAGAAGGGGAUAACACUUGGAAACAGGUGCUAAUACCGUAUAACAAUCGAAACCGCAUGGUUUUGAUUUGAAAGGCGCUUUCGGGUGUCGCUGAUGGAUGGACCCGCGGUGCAUUAGCUAGUUGGUGAGGUAACGGCUCACCAAGGCCACGAUGCAUAGCCGACCUGAGAGGGUGAUCGGCCACAUUGGGACUGAGACACGGCCCAAACUCCUACGGGAGGCAGCAGUAGGGAAUCUUCGGCAAUGGACGAAAGUCUGACCGAGCAACGCCGCGUGAGUGAAGAAGGUUUUCGGAUCGUAAAACUCUGUUGUUAGAGAAGAACAAGGAUGAGAGUAACUGUUCAUCCCUUGACGGUAUCUAACCAGAAAGCCACGGCUAACUACGUGCCAGCAGCCGCGGUAAUACGUAGGUGGCAAGCGUUGUCCGGAUUUAUUGGGCGUAAAGCGAGCGCAGGCGGUUUCUUAAGUCUGAUGUGAAAGCCCCCGGCUCAACCGGGGAGGGUCAUUGGAAACUGGGAGACUUGAGUGCAGAAGAGGAGA